UACGAAGGGGGCUAGCGUUGCUCGGAAUCACUGGGCGUAAAGGGUGCGUACGCGGGUCUUUAAGUCAGGGGUGAAAUCCUGGAGCUCAACUCCAGAACUGCCUUUGAUACUGAGGAUCUUGAGUGCGGGAGAGGUGAGUGGAACUGCGAGUGUAGAGGUGAAAUUCGUAGAUAUUCGCAAGAACACCAGUGGCGAAGGCGGCUCACUGGCCCGUAACUGACGCUGAGGCACGAAAGCGUGGGGAGCAAACAGG
RNAcentral lists this ribosomal RNA (253 nucleotides) under uncultured bacterium. RNAcentral's name for it is "partial 16S ribosomal RNA". It matches the Rfam family "Bacterial small subunit ribosomal RNA", at positions 524 to 776 of the family's 1533-position model. The record is from RNAcentral.